Long non-coding RNA from Salvia splendens (bonfire salvia), 401 nucleotides. RefSeq lists it as uncharacterized. The record is from RefSeq and is a predicted model, not a curated record. The transcript is spliced from 2 exons. NCBI's taxonomy places the organism in Eukaryota, Viridiplantae, Streptophyta, Magnoliopsida, Lamiales, Lamiaceae.
UCGACCCCACUCACUCAACGCGACAAAAGGAGGCGCUGAAAUUGAAGAAGCUUCUACACAUGCUUUUCUUUGUCAAUCUUCAAAACUUUGAAAAUUCGUGGAAAAUUUAUCUCAACUUCACCCACCAUUUUUUCCAUUUCUUCUUCUCUCACUCACUAGAAUUGUUUGUUAAUAAUAUUCAAGCACAAAACAGUUGUUAUCUCUCUCUGUCUCUAUCUCAUCUCUCUCUCUCUUUCUCUGCAGAAAAAAGGCAAAUUUCCCAGAAUCGAUACUAAAAGGAGCAAGAAAUCUCCAGUUCUAAUCUCUUUUUCAUGCUGGAUUUAUAGUUUUAUUUGAUAACGUAAACUUAAUUUGCUGCAAAAAUUCGUCAUAUGAUGAUCCAGUGGCAAUUGAAAUAAAGG